AAAGAGUCAAGAAGCAGAACUGAAGGUUCUUUCGUGUGAUGACUGGGAAAUUGUGUGUCCCGGGGGAACACACACUUCUUACCAGGUGCUGUGUGGGGUAGUGGGUUGAGGGCAGGGGCAAGGAGGCAUCCAUCCUUAAAGUGGGCACCAUCUGGGCAGAGGAUAGCAACACUGUCUGGAAGGCCAGGGAUGGAGCUCGUGCCUUCCUCUUAGGGUGGUUGAGGAUAGACCAGCAACAGAUUCUGGGACUUUGGUGAUGGGCCUCAAAGAGGACACAGUCAUUCCCUUGCAGAAACCAGGGUCAAGAGGCAGGAAGUAGUACAGUACAUUUAUGGAAUCAUGGAUCGUCCAAUUGGGUGGGAGCUGGAGUGCCUGUAGGGACAUGAAUGGUGCAGAGAAAGCUGGAAAGACAAGUUAGCAUCAAAAGGAAGAACUGGAUGCCAAAUUACUAUUGCCUCAUUCCAAGGCAAUUGGGAUCUUUUGUCUGCAGAGACUAUAAAUUCUUUGAGGCCUAGUAUUGCAUCUUUUCAUCAUAGUGUACCUGGGGCUUCUACAACAAUAGUACUCAGUAUAUCUUUGUUGAAUAUUUAAGAAAAAAGUCUACAGGCAGUUGGAGCUGCUGGAGUUUGUUGAGCAUUGGUGUGAUAGAAUCAGAGCUGUGAUCAGGGGGUGAGCUUGUCCAGUGGAAUGUAGCAGGAGAUACUGGACAUACGAAGAGGGGUUCUGAAGCUGAAAUGGCCCAGGUGAAAGUUGUGGAGUCUGAUUUACAGAGGAGGACAUGAAGAUUAAUGGGCUCAUGCUCUGACAAAAGGGACUUCCCAGGAUGACUGGCUUAGUGAGUAUUUCACUAGGGGGAGUGAGGGAACGUGAGGAGGCAGACUUCAGCAAGAAGGAUGGUGGGCCCUUUAAUAGAGAAAUAGGAGCUGGUUUGGGGUAGAAGACUCUGAACUUAGUUGUGGAGUGCUGGGAAGAGAGCCAGGUGAAGUCCCAGCAGGCAGGAAGCCCCAUGCGGCCCAACUCCAGGGGUGGCCAUUCACAGUGUAUUUUCUGUGAGUGGCACCCCCUGGAGUUGUGUAGUCACAGCCUCACACUAUUGGGAGGGGUCCCUCUGUAGGAAAGAGAAAAAGGAAGCACUGGAAAUCAGAGAGAGGUCAGGCCUAGACAUGGAACUGCUGGAGUCCUCUGCACAGCUGUGGGUUUCUCGUCCUGCCCCUCUCUUGUACUGCCAUCCCGGGCUUGUCUCUGCUGAGCUCCUCUCUCUAGCUGUCAUCUUCUCUUCCUUCCAGUUCCCUGGCUGGUCCCAGGGCACAGAAGGCUCACUGAUCAUCGCCCUGGGGAACGAAGAUGCCCUGGGAGAAUACUCCUGCACCCCCUACAACAGUCUUGGUACCGCUGGGCCCUCUCCUGUGACCCGCGUGCUGCUCAAGGCUCCCCCAGCUUUUAUAGAGCUGCCCAAGGAAGAAUAUUUCCAAGAAGUAGGGCGGGAGCUGCUCAUCCCCUGCUCCGCCCAAGGGGACCCUCCUCCUGUCAUCUCUUGGGCCAAGGCACUAGCCCUCAUGUUGUCACCAAUGUGUCCGUGGUGCCUUUGCCCAAGGGUGCCAAUGUCUCCUGGGAGCCUGGCUUUGAUGGUGGCUAUCUGCAGAGAUUCAGUGUCUGGUACACCCCACUGGCCAAGCGUCCUGACCGAAUGCACCAUGACUGGGUGUCCUUGGCAGUGCCUGUGGGGGCUGCUCACCUCCUAGUGCCAGGGCUGCAGCCCCACACCCAGUACCAGUUCAGCGUGCUAGCUCAGAACAAGCUGGGGAGUGGUCCCUUCAGCGAAAUCGUCUUGUCUGCUCCUGAAGGGCUUCCUACCACGCCAGCUGCACCCAGGCUUCCCCCAACAGAGAUACCGCCUCCCCUGUCCCCUCCGUGGGGUCUGGUGGCAGUGAGGACACCCCGGGGGGUACUCCUGCAUUGGGAUCCCCCAGAGCUGGUCCCUAAGAGACUGGAUGGCUACGUCUUGGAAGGCCGGCAAGGCUCCCAGGGCUGGGAGGUGCUGGACCCGGCUGUGGCAGGCACAGAAACAGAGCUGCUGGUGCCAGGCCUCAUCAAGGAUGUUCUCUACGAGUUCCGCCUCGUGGCCUUCGCGGGCAGCUUCGUCAGCGACCCCAGCAACACGGCCAACGUCUCCACUUCCGGUGAGCACGUGGCGUGAGGGAGGAGCCCCAGGGCUGCUCCGAGUCCACUGACCCUCCCUCGUGGCCCCCUGCCUAGGUCUGGAGGUCUACCCUUCGCGCACGCAGCUGCCGGGCCUCCUGCCCCAGCCCGUGCUGGCCGGCGUGGUGGGCGGAGUCUGCUUUCUGGGCGUGGCCGUCCUUGUGAGCAUCCUGGCCGCCUGCCUCAUGAACCGGCGCAGGGCUGCCCGCCGCCGCCGCCGCAAGCGCCUCCGCCAAGAUCCACCUCUUAUCUUCUCUCCGACCGGGAAGUCAGCUGCACCGUAAGUGCCUCCACCUCCUUGGCUUUCUUCUGCCUUUCCAUUGUACGUGCCAGUAUCUUCUGCUUCCUUUUUUGCAUCUUUAGCGGGGGGAUGUUGGGUGUUGGGGAGGAACAAAAGUGGGAGAGGGUAAGGAGGAGUGUGCAGUGGCCCCAGCCUGAGGCCGGUCCAGUAUGGCCUGUGCCUUCCUUCCACCCCUCCACCUUGUUGGUCCUUUCCUCGCUUGUUCUCCCUAGCUCUGCUCUGUUGUUCAUCAAACCUCUCAAGGCCUGAUGCUGGCUCCUGGGAGGGGGAUCUGCCCCUGCCACAGACCCUGAUCUCCUAUCCUUCCCCAGCUCUGCUCUGGGCUCAGGCAGUCCUGACAGCGUGGCGAAGCUGAAGCUCCAGGGAUCCCCAGUCCCCAGCCUGCGCCAGAGUCUGCUCUGGGGGGAUCCUGCCGGAACUCCCAGCCACCACCCAGAUCCUCCAUCUAGCCGGGGACCCUUACCCCUGGAGCCCAUUUGCCGGGGCCCAGACGGGCGCUUUGUGAUGGGGCCCACUGUGGUGGCCCCCCAGGAAAGGUCAGGCCCAGAGCAGGCAGAACCUCGGACUCCAGCCCAGCGUCUGGCCCGGUCCUUUGACUGUAGCAGUAGCAGCCCCAGUGGGGCACCCCAGCCCCUCUGCAUUGAAGACAUCAGCCCUGUGGCACCCCCUCCAGCAGCCCCACCCAGUCCCUUGCCAGGUCCCGGACCCCUGCUCCAGUACCUGAGCCUGCCCUUCUUCCGAGAGAUGAAUGUGGAUGGGGACUGGCCCCCUCUUGAGGAGCCCAACCCUGCUGCACCCCCAGAUUACAUGGAUACCCGGCGCUGUCCCACCUCAUCUUUCCUUCGUUCUCCAGACACCCCUCCUGUGUCCCCCAGGGAAUCACUUCCUGGGGCUGUGGUAGGGGCUGGGGCCACUGCAGAGCCCCCUUACACAGCCCUGGCUGACUGGACACUGAGGGAGCGGCUGCUGCCAGGCCUUCUCCCUGCUGCCCCUCGAGGCAGCCUCACCAGCCAGAGCAGCGGGCGAGGCAGCGCUUCGUUCCUGCGGCCCCCCUCCACAGCCCCCUCUGCAGGAGGCAGCUACCUCAGCCCUGCUCCAGGAGACACCAGCAGCUGGGCCAGUGGCCCUGAGAGAUGGCCCCGAAGGGAGCAUGUGGUGACAGUCAGCAAGAGGAGGAACACAUCUGUGGACGAGAACUAUGAGUGGGACUCAGAAUUCCCUGGGGACAUGGAAUUGCUGGAGACUUUGCACCUGGGCUUGGCCAGCUCCCAGCUCAGACCUGAAGCUGAGCCAGAGCUAGGUGUGAAGACUCCAGAGGAGGGCUGCCUCCUGAACACUGCCCAUGUUACUGGCCCUGAGGCCCGCUGUGCUGCCCUUCGGGAGGAAUUCCUGGCCUUCCGCCGCCGCCGAGAUGCUACUAGGGCUCGGCUACCAGCCUAUCGACAGCCAGUCCCCCACCCCGAACAGGCCACUCUGCUGUGAACAUCCCUAAUGUGAGGCUGGGAAAAGGCAUAUGGACCUGCAAAGGAGGCCCCCAACCAGACAGACCUAGUUUCAAACUAGGGCACUGCCCCUGCCUGCCCCUUUGGUGCCCAGGCACAGACCCUGAUAGUGGGCUUGGGUCACCUUGGUAUGGAAUGUAUGUGCUGACUCCCUAGGUGAGUCUGGGGAUUGGAACAGGGAUCUUAGGUCUGCCUCUCUCUCUCUCUCUCUCUCUCUCUCUGUGUGUGUGUGUGUGUGUGUGUGUGUGUGUGUCUGUGUGUGUGGUGAAGUUUUUUACAGGUGAAUAAACAAAGUUUGAAAGAUA
Molecule: small RNA, 4307 nt
Filed under: Pongo abelii (Sumatran orangutan)
Lineage: Eukaryota; Metazoa; Chordata; Mammalia; Primates; Hominidae
Description: processed transcript
Source: RNAcentral